AGUGAACGCUGGCGGUAGGCCUAACACAUGCAAGUCGAACGGCAGCACAGUAAGAGCUUGCUCUUACGGGUGGCGAGUGGCGGACGGGUGAGGAAUACAUCGGAAUCUACUUUUUCGUGGGGGAUAACGUAGGGAAACUUACGCUAAUACCGCAUACGACCUACGGGUGAAAGCAGGGGAUCUUCGGACCUUGCGCGAUUGAAUGAGCCGAUGUCGGAUUAGCUAGUUGGCGGGGUAAAGGCCCACCAAGGCGACGAUCCGUAGCUGGUCUGAGAGGAUGAUCAGCCACACUGGAACUGAGACACGGUCCAGACUCCUACGAGAGGCAGCAGUGGGGAAUAUUGGACAAUGGGCGCAAGCCUGAUCCAGCCAUACCGCGUGGGUGAAGAAGGCCUGCGGGUUGUAAAGCCCUUUUGUUGGGAAAGAAAAGCAGCAGGUUAAUACCCCGCUGUUCUGACGGGACCCAAAGAAUAAGCACCGGCUAACUUCGG
This 491-nucleotide ribosomal RNA is filed under the name uncultured bacterium. RNAcentral's name for it is "partial 16S ribosomal RNA". It matches the Rfam family "Bacterial small subunit ribosomal RNA", at positions 29 to 506 of the family's 1533-position model. The record is from RNAcentral.